Molecule: long non-coding RNA, 4863 nt
Organism: Haplochromis burtoni (Burton's mouthbrooder)
Lineage: Eukaryota; Metazoa; Chordata; Actinopteri; Cichliformes; Cichlidae
Exons: 3
Source: RefSeq, a predicted model, not a curated record
UGCCUGAAAGGGGAAACAAAAUCAGUUCAUACUGAAAUUAGGGAACACAUCCACCACCUUUCACCUGGCAGAAAACCUCCACAACUACUACGUUUCCUGAAAGUCUGUGUCAAAUAAUCUGUUUCAUACUUGGAGAAACUACAAGGCUUUUAUAGAUUUUUUUGUGUGUGUGCGCACGCAUGGUAUCACAAUAGCAAUAGCAUGACAACACUAGCAAAAAAGUGACUAUGCAACUCUUAACCUGAACAAAUCCAAGUAAAAAGAGAUGCACAUUAAACGUUUAAAUGUUUUUCUAGUAUUACAUAUAAACCACACCCAUGAUCUCUUUAUUGGGUUUAUAAUUAUUCUUAUAGUGCUGUGUGAAAUUAAACUUCCUAACAAUCUUCCAAGAUGAGCUGAGAGCUCACUACAUGUAAAAUUAGAUAUGCUUCACAACUGUCAACAACAAAGGACUCUUGCUUAGCUUCCCCCAACCCAGAGAAUAUUCGACAUCAGAGACAAGUUGUUGCAAGGAUCGCUCACAACAGCAUUUAUGGUACACGCACAGAGGAGCAAUAAACUAUUAACAGGCCCAUGCACGGCAGAGACGCAUGGGAAUUGCUGUGUCAACGUAGGACUUUCCAUUCACAACGGUGCUGCCUCAAUGUCUGUGAGCACAGCACCCAAUGGAUUGCAUACAGUCUCUCCUCUCUUACACAGAGGCCGGUUCUUACUCACUAGCAAUCAUACGCGUGCAUAUAGACUCGUAAGGACGAUGCUUACAGUGUCAGCUCUGCGCCACAAAACAAGACAUUGUCCAGUUGUUCCCUGGCUUCACAUUGACUGGACAACAUGCAACAGGCCUGUCAAUGAUGGCUAGCUUUAGCUAAUGUCAACUAACCAGCGGCUCGGUUUCCACCAACACGCCCAGGAACUGUUGUGCCCUAUCAGCACCAACAGCAACAACCACAGCAGCCAAAAUGACAGCAGAGACAUGCCAGAACAGCAAAGUAGGUUGCCUGUACAACAAUUUCUAACUAGCUGUGGAACAACAGCAUUAGCCAGCAGUGAUAGUCUAACAUGGCUGACAGGAAAUGGCAGCUCAGAACAUUCCAGUGGAGCCGGCUCGGUUUUCCUAAGCUGGACAUGAGCAUGCCGAACAAAAAAGACACAGAUUUGACUAUUGUUGAGGUCAACUUGCCGUGCACUCCUAUCAAAUAAUGCACUAAGAACACAUGGCAACAUGGCAGGGGUUCCUUGAGAUGAUUAAGAUGCAUUUGCAAAAGAAAAAUGGUUGGCGAAACCGGCGCACAAGGUCAAUCCCCGAUGUGUCAAACCACCACAGCGACAACUGUCACGCAACGUCAGCUAGCGAACUUGCUAACAUAACGGGAGGCCCUGGAGCCAGAGCUCUGUGUUGUCAUGGUGAGCACAGUAGUGAUUCCCAAUCCCACCCUUGCGGGAGCUGCAUCCAUGUUGAUCCAGAACGACACCCAAGACAGGAUGACAGUCAGCAGGCUCGUUGUUUCAGUGAUGGAUCCAAAGCUGUUGAUGAAGAUGUUACAGGUCACGUUGACAGGAGAACCUGACGGGAGGACACAUCUUAGUAACACUGCUUCCUUAAAUACCACUGAUGAUGUUUUCUAAAAGGAACACAUCAAAUAUUAAAGCUGAUGAAGAGCAGGGGAUUCCUGUACCACAACAUCUGUUUUUUCCCUUCAUAAUAUGCCAUGCCGUGUCCUGAUAAAGAUUUAUCCACGAUAACAAGCCUGAAAUUGUGUUGUCAUUUCCAGUACGCUCCCAUUAGCGUAGCCCAUCUGUCGACCAUUGGAACUUUAAAUAUUUCAGUGAGUCAUUUCCGAAGAGGCAAUUAUUUAUUGAUUCAGUUUUACUUACAUUGGUGUGUUUAUAGAUAAUCAGCAGAGAUUUAUCCACAAUGCACCGACAAGGAUGUGGAGCAAAUAUGAAAUAUAUAUGAAAUUUGACCCUAGAGGCGGUGCAGGAACUAUGUGAGAGAGACUCUGCCAGUUUCACAAGAUUGGACUGGAAAGGGCCUUUGGGGUAACAUGCAAGGAUGACCGCACAUUUCUGUCAAAUAAAAACGAUGUGAAAGAGACGUCUGUGAAAAGACACCAUCACCUUAGGGUGUGGGACAACACAGAAACCGUAACAACACACGAGGAGGAAAAAAAGGAGAAAGACUUUCGCAUGGAGACAUCGUAGCUUGCAGCAUCUCUUGCCUCUGACCCAUCUGUGAAGGAUUUGUGCCACAUCACUGCACAGAUUGUUGUGCAAAUUGAGCGGCACUCUUUCUCACACUUUUUCAAAUAGAGCAGUAUUUGCAUGUGGGAGUGCAGUUACCUUUGAAAUUUGGUCUGAUGCGAGCAUCAUAGCCAGAUGUGCGUCCCAUCAGUUUGUCCAAAAAGUCAGAGGGAGAGGGCGGCUUGACUGCCCUGCUGGGGAACUUCAGCUCCUUACAUUGCACAGACCUACAGGGUGAUGGGGCAGUGAUGAUUCACUGACAUAAAUAUGAACUUAAUGUCUAGCUUCCUAAUUUGUAUGAAGAAGCUAAAAUUUAAGUUUGGACAUUACAUGCAUUUUGUGAUUAAAGGUGUCCUGCUGUGAAUAAAAUUGCAGGCUUUCUGAAUAAAAGAACAAUAUCCAUGAAAUUACUUUUUUCUUUUUUUUAAGAUCUGUUUCUCAAAUCUUGCAAAUUUAAUUGGGUAUUUUUACCUAAUGGAACUGUUGCUUUUAAUUAUAGAUUAAAAAAUAUUUAAUGCAUGUUUCUUUCCACUUAAAGAGAAAAAGCUGUGCCGGCAGCUUCUUUGUUAAAGAAGUAUCAGAGCAUGUAAGGUACAGUAACUGCCCCUUCAAAUAAGCGUGCAGGCUGGCGCUUGCAUUUUUGAAAGGAAAGACUUUCAAAACUAUCUUACCUGCCUUGUUGAAAAAUGACAAACGAAGCCCACAGUGGACACAGGAUGUGCAGUAGCAUUCUGAGUUGGUGGACCCAACAGAUGAGAGAAAAACAGCCAAAAUUUGGAAGGAAAAAAAAAAGAAAGAAAGCGAAGAUGCGGAGAACUUUCAGGCGCUGGCUCCUGGAGUCAGAUGAGCCUCCCUCCCUCUCUGCAGGUGUAAAAUACAGGAAGCUGCUGCUCUAUAAUUCAAAAUCCAAGGGAACUUUUUUUUUCCUCCUUCCCCUGCCUGUUUGUGUGGAUCACUUCAAGCUUUAUCUCUUUUUUAUGGCCAUAUGCAUGCUGAAGGAAUUACUGCAAGAAUUUUUAAAGGGACAGCAGCAUUUUUACGGCAGAGUUGCCCCCAACGAUGGUCUUCGACGCAGCCUCAGAUCUGCACUUUCAAAUAUUUGGGAUUCAAACUGUACUGCUUAUAAGCACUUUUAUUAAACAGAUCUAAUUAUGAAAGUUAAACACCUAUAGCUAUGCUUUUUUUUUUUCUCUUUAAUUUCUGGAUGAACACAGCUCUGCAGGUGCUUAAUCCACAUUUUAAAAAACUUUAAAGAGGCAUGUAAAUAAGCCUGAAAACUGUAUUUUAAUAACAAGGGAGGAGAACCUUUACAUUAAAAUGACCCUUCCACCUCCUUUUAAAAAUCAGGUUGUUCAAAGAUACUUUUGGUGAAACUGUAUUUAUAUUGCCAUCAAUUUACAAAACCACAUAACAUCAGCACUGAAUGGGCCUCAAAUUGGGCAGGAGAACAGAGAGGUAACUGCCAAGUUGGCAAGAUUGUUGUUCCAUGCAGAAGGGAAAUAAGAUAAAGGCAUAAUGUUCCUAUUAAUUCCAAUGCAACACAUCUCUGUGUCAGAACACAUCCAGAGGGGAUUUAUCUUUAGCACUGCUGUUAAAAGUUUCUGGUCUAAUUAUUUCAUCUACAAACUGCCACACAAAUUCACAUAUAAAUGCGGAAACUCAUAUUUGUUCCUCCACAUAGAGAGGGGGCAAGCUCAGCCAUUUCCUCAUGUAAAAUUAAUGUCAGAGAAAGCGAUGGGACGUAACGGCUGCACGUGUUUGCCUCACACUUGAAAAGGCCAUUCUCCACUCCGCUCUGGAGCCCACAGUGUCAAAUUGGAUAAGAAAUGUGUUGGAAUAUAAAACAUGAAUGCCUUCCUAAUAACAAGAAGUCCUGAGUAAAGAAAAAAAUAAAAAAAAAAUAAAAAAAUAAUUCUGUAUGCGUGCACAUUUUUACCUCUGGACAAGAAAAGUAGGCCAAGCUUCAUUUUAGUGAUAUUUUGCUGGAUUGCGAACUGGAUUUACUUCAUUAGAUCAUAUUACCGACGCACUGUUAAAUGGAGUAGUCAGGUGCUUUUUAUACAAGCUGGCUUUUCCCAUUUGAAACAAUAAAUAUGUGCUUUUGAUCUGUGGUCAAAUCACUAUAGCCCACAUGCAUAACCGUAGCAAAUGUAGCAAGCAGCACAAAUUGAUGCUCCGGUGGUUCAGAUUACGAUGAAGCACGCAGACUUUAACUACCGUCAAAACAAUCAAAGCUCCGAAUGGAGGUAAGCUUCUCGGUUGUCAGUGUCAUUUUUCUAGAAGCACAACUGAAAAUACAGAGAUGAGUGAUUUAAAAAUAGCUUUUAUUGCAGCUUUUUUUUUCUCCUCUGAACAAGCUGCUUUGAUCACACCGACGGAAACGAUGACCCAUGUGCAACAUUUGCAGCCUGGUGGGGGGGAAUGCAGAUAAGCAAUCACGCGAGUUUGGUGACAGCAGAAAGAUAACACAGAGACUUCUCCUAAAAGGAGGAAAAACAAGCGCAACAGAUAUAAAUUCCAAAUAUGAAAAUAUUUCACCAACAUAAUUUACAUUGAUCCUCAUUUGGUAAGUUUGACCAAUUGUGUCUUAGAGAAUGUGGCAAUGAGUCCCAGAGUUCAGCU